CUUUCUUCUCGUCGGUGUUCCCGGCUGCUAUAGAGCCGGGUGAGAGAGCGAGCGCCCGUCGGCGGGUGUCGAGGGCGGGUUGCCUCGCGCUGACCCUUCCCGCCCUCCUUCUCGUCACACACCAGGUCCCCGCGGAAGCCGCGGUGUCGGCGCCAUGGCGGAGCUGACGGCUCUUGAGAGUCUCAUCGAGAUGGGCUUCCCCAGGGGACGCGCGGAGAAGGCUCUGGCCCUCACAGGGAACCAGGGCAUCGAGGCUGCGAUGGACUGGCUGAUGGAGCACGAAGACGACCCCGAUGUGGACGAGCCUUUAGAGACUCCCCUUGGACAUAUCCUGGGACGGGAGCCCACUUCCUCAGAGCAAGGCGGCCUUGAAGGUCCUGACUGAGGGUCCACGGUGUGAUUAUUCAGGAGGGUCCGAGGAGAAUCUGAAGGGAUAAUAAUACCGAUUGUUUGUUUGUAGGAUCUGGUUCUGCUGCCGGAGAAGGCAAACCCGCUUUGAGUGAAGAGGAAAGACAGGAACAAACUAAGAGGAUGUUGGAGCUGGUGGCCCAGAAGCAGCG
RNAcentral lists this long non-coding RNA (560 nucleotides) under Homo sapiens (human). RNAcentral's name for it is "non-protein coding lnc-LBHD1-2:1". Lineage: Eukaryota; Metazoa; Chordata; Mammalia; Primates; Hominidae. The record is from RNAcentral.